Molecule: transfer RNA, 74 nt
Filed under: Solirubrobacterales bacterium
Lineage: Bacteria; Bacillati; Actinomycetota; Thermoleophilia; Solirubrobacterales
Also listed under: 3 other names
Description: tRNA-Arg
Rfam family: tRNA
About the family: Transfer RNA (tRNA) molecules are approximately 80 nucleotides in length. Their secondary structure includes four short double-helical elements and three loops (D, anti-codon, and T loops). Further hydrogen bonds mediate the characteristic L-shaped molecular structure. tRNAs have two regions of fundamental functional importance: the anti-codon, which is responsible for specific mRNA codon recognition, and the 3' end, to which the tRNAs corresponding amino acid is attached (by aminoacyl-tRNA synthetases). tRNAs cope with the degeneracy of the genetic code in two manners: having more than one tRNA (with a specific anti-codon) for a particular amino acid; and 'wobble' base-pairing, i.e. permitting non-standard base-pairing at the 3rd anti-codon position.
Source: RNAcentral
GCGCCAGUAGCUCAGCCGGAUAGAGCGUCGGUCUACGAAACCGAAGGUCACAGGUUCGAAUCCUGUCUGGCGCG